Molecule: ribosomal RNA, 497 nt
Filed under: uncultured bacterium
Lineage: Bacteria
Description: partial 16S ribosomal RNA
Rfam family: Bacterial small subunit ribosomal RNA
Source: RNAcentral
GACGAACGCUGGCGGCGUGCCUAAUACAUGCAAGUAGAACGCUGAAGAGAGGAGCUUACUCUUCUUGGAUGAGUUGCGAACGGGUGAGUAACGCGUAGGUAACCUGCCUUGUAGCGGGGGAUAACUAUUGGAAACGAUAGCUAAUACCGCAUAACAAUGGAUGACACAUGUCAUUUAUUUGAAAGGGGCAAUUGCUCCACUACAAGAUGGACCUGCGUUGUAUUAGCUAGUAGGUGAGGUAAUGGCUCACCUAGGCGACGAUACAUAGCCGACCUGAGAGGGUGAUCGGCCACACUGGGACUGAGACACGGCCCAGGCGCCUACGGGAGGCAGCAGUAGGGAAUCUUCGGCAAUGGGGGCAACCCUGACCGAGCAACGCCGCGUGAGGGAAGAAGGUUUUCGGAUCGGAAAGCUCGGUUGUAAGUCAAGAACGGGUGUGAGAGUGGAAAGUUCACACUGUGACGGUAGCUUACCAGAAAGGGACGGCUAACUACGUG